Molecule: ribosomal RNA, 388 nt
Filed under: uncultured bacterium
Lineage: Bacteria
Description: bacterial SSU rRNA
Rfam family: Bacterial small subunit ribosomal RNA
Source: RNAcentral
GUAGUCCACGCCUUAAACGAUGAUAAUUAGACGUGGGGAUUGGUUGACAAUCUCUGUGUCGAAGCUAACGCGUUAAAUUAUCCGCCUGGGGAGUACGGUCGCAAGACUAAAACUCAAAGGAAUUGACGGGGACCCGCACAAGCGGUGGAUUAUGUGGUUUAAUUCGAAGCAACGCGCAGAACCUCACCUGGGUUUGACAUCCAGAGAAAAGCAGCAGAGAUGUUGCCUUGAGCUAUAGCAAUAUAGCUCCUCUGAGACAGGUGCUGCAUGGCUGUCGUCAGCUCGUGUUGUGAAAUAUUGGGUUAAGUCCCGCAACGAGCGCAACCCCUAUUCUUAGUUGCCAGCAUUAAGUUGGGCACUCUAGGAAGACUGCCUGCGUUAAGCAGGA